GACGAACGCUGGCGGCGUGCUUAACACAUGCAAGUCGAACGGAAAGGCCCUGCUUUUGUGGGGUGCUCGAGUGGCGAACGGGUGAGUAACACGUGAGUAACCUGCCCUUGACUUUGGGAUAACUUCAGGAAACUGGGGCUAAUACCGGAUAGGAGCUCCUGCUGCAUGGGGGGGGUUGGAAAGUUUCGGCGGUUGGGGCUGGACUCGCGGCUUAUCAGCUUGUUGGUGGGGUAGUGGCGUACCAAGGCUUUGACGGGUAGCCGGCCUGAGAGGGUGACCGGCCACAUUGGGACUGAGACACGGCCCAGACUCCUACGGGAGGCAGCAGUGGCGAGUAGUGCACAAUGGGCGGAAGCCUGAUGCAGCAACGCGGCGGGCGGGAUGACGGCCUUCGGGUUGUACACCGCUUUCGCCUGUGACGAAGCGUGAGUGACGGUAAUGGGUAAAGAGGCACCGGCUAGCUACGUG
RNAcentral lists this ribosomal RNA (468 nucleotides) under uncultured bacterium. Its description in RNAcentral is "partial 16S ribosomal RNA". It matches the Rfam family "Bacterial small subunit ribosomal RNA", at positions 28 to 507 of the family's 1533-position model. The record is from RNAcentral.